Non-coding RNA from Punica granatum (pomegranate), 3378 nucleotides. The record is from RefSeq and is a predicted model, not a curated record. NCBI's taxonomy places the organism in Eukaryota, Viridiplantae, Streptophyta, Magnoliopsida, Myrtales, Lythraceae.
UGUAUAUUUUCACGUUUGGAAGAGACGCCUGCGUUCAACGAACCAUAAAAAGCCAAUCGCCACUCCCGCCGGUGCCACCCAGUCUCUGCUCUGGUUUUGGACUGUCGUGCGGCUCCGCCUUCUUCUCCAACCUUCACCCGACUUCUUGAGCCCACUGCUCGACCAUCAGUAACCAUUAUGUAAACACCCCUUGGCGCCGCUCGUCCACGAGCUACCGAUCCCUAUGGCCUGCCCACCAACCGGUGCCUUCCCUCCACAAUGUUCCACCCCGCCAGUGGCAUGGUUGUCCACUUGCCUCAGAUCAGCGCCUACACAAUCGCUCCUACACAUCAGUGCAUGUGCUUCCGCCUUCUUGUCCGAUCAGCCACCUGACCGCCGUCCUCCUCGCCUUUCGCCGCCGACAUUGCCACUGCCAUGGCCCUCUGCUUCCCUCAGAAACCGCGCCUAACCAUACAUCGCCACAAUGCCAGGGUUGGCUGUCUGUCCUAAUAUCCAGCCUUUACGCCGCCUCACAAGCGCGCCUGUUCUUGAAUUGUGCCAUUCAAUCAAAUUUUGCAUCAACCAAAAUGAUCCUCGGUUUGUAACAAGCCCCUUUUUUUAGCAAUCGUAUGAAUGAGAAAAGGCUUGCGUUGUUGGCCCUGUGUGUGGACAAGAUCAAAUUCAUGGGCUCUCCAAAGGUACGGGCUGCAGUAUUAUUAAGAGUGCAGGUUUGUUUCCUAUGCACUUUCUUUUAUCUCAUCAUAGCACAUGCAUGAAAUUUGGGCUUUUUGUUACCCUGACUUUCAGUUUCAUUUACAAGGGCAUUUUCAUGAAAUAUGGUCCCAAGCUUCUUUGCAGGUUACUCUUAUGUAACUCUAUGUUACAUGUUAUAAUGACUUUAGUUACAGGACUGUGUUUGAUAUUAUUUCAUAUUAUUGGUGAUAUAUGUUAGAUUGCUAGCUGGUUUCAAAAAUAUACCCAACAAUUCUAGAGUGCUUUUCUAUCUCUCAAGAGUCAUUUUACAUGUCAAUUUUUUGAUAGGGAUAAGCCUUAUGUGUGGAACUGUGUAAAUUAAACUUUUGAAAUGUGUUGAUUGUUAUGUAAUGUGCCCGAGGCUCCUCUUGUUCGAUCAUAUAAUUCUUAGUUUUUCAGGAUACCAGAUCUUGAGCCCCUGAGUAAUGAUAUCAGCCACUUACAUUCUCUUGCCAUCUCUGGUGUAGCUACACUGAGGAUGAAUUGUCUCGUGCUUCUUUGCUUAGGAAUAUACACAGCUUUCUUAAUGAAAGUGCAAGUCAUUGCUUAACUAUCAAAUGAUUCUCUUAAUAAGGUAAAGAACGAAUGUGAAGUACUUUAUUUUCUCCUUAACAUAUAUUUGAUUUAACGUGGUUCUGCAACUUUUUUGUUUCAAAUUUGUUUGUGUUUUCUGUUGCAGUUUCAUAUGAUCUUCUUGUGCUGCUUUUGGUGUAAUUUAUUUCCUAUUUUAGGGUCCAAAGUUGAUAUUUAUAUAUAAGUGUGGAAGUUGCAUGUGCCAAGCAGAAUGCAGAGCUUGAAGGGAGAAAUUAUGUUGGACCUCUAGAUGGACGAAAAUUCCGGAGCAGGCAGGAUGCUCUUUGUUGAUGUAGAACGAAAAACUAACUUUUAAAAUCGAUGAUGUAAAUAGAUGGAAGUCAUAAACCUGAGGUUAAUAAGUGUUUGCCAAAGAAACUGGAAACAACCUGCUUAAGGUGAUUUUAACUUAACUAGCUGUUUUUUAGCAUACCUAGAGAUGGUUGCGUUAUAGGAAAGAUGAGAAUAGUGACAAUAGUCCUGCUUGUUUAGAAGUUGUAUUGCACUUGAAGUGACUUCUUGUUUCUUUUAGUAUGCUCGAGGUUAAGAUCAAGACAGGUGCUUCUGUUUAUACUGAACGAUCAUUAUUCGUGUCCUUGUUUUUAUCUUGUUGGCAACCCUCAUUACAGAUUGGAAGCCGAUGUGGCCAUUGAAAGGAUACCAAAUAUAAAUCCCUGAAUUAUACUAAAUGUGAGCAUAAGUGGAGGGAUAGAGGGGAAUAGUGAGCUCAGGGUGGAAGACUUGAUUGAUAGGUCAAGUUUGAGCUGGGAUUUGGUCUGUUUGUAGGGAAAGAUAACAGAAAAAGAAAAGCAAGUAAUCCAAAGCAAUCCUAUUGCAGCAAGCGGAAAACAAGAUAGAUUGGUAUGGCCUCAUACUAAGAAUGGGGAGGUAUCUGUUAAGUCGGUCUACGCUUUCUUGAGAGACAAAGAAAAGAGGGUAACUCUACAUAGACCAUCUUCUUCUCACCAGGUGGAUGGGAGAACUUGGAACCUGAUAUGGGAUAUUGAUUGCCCUCCGAAGGUUAAAAAUUUCUUUUGGAGGUGUUGUCCUAAUUUGUUCCUACUAUGAGGAAUCUUCACAGGAGAAAGGUGACUAUUGAGUGAAAGGAGUGUUUGUAUUUGGUGUGGCAUGCUUGGACUGAGGAUUAAUAGAAGUGGGGUGUCAUCUAUUGAUAGAUAGCUACUGGGUUUUUUUUAAACGAAUAGGCUGAGGGGGCAUGAUUUAGUGAAAUUCAGAAGAGCAAUUGCCUAUACUUGUUGAUACAACUGGAAAGGCAGAUGCCAAGUAAUGUAUGAAAAAAGAGGCCCCUCCCUUUUAAUGUUACGCAUAGGCCCAAAGAUGUAUUGGGGGAAUAUGACAGAGUACUAGAUGCAACUUAAAAGAAGACAGGAGGUAAGAGCGGUGAAGUAAAAGGAGCUGAAUUGGGGAAGAAAUAGAGGAACUUUCUGUGCAGGUAUUGGUGUGGUGGUUUGUGAUUGCGAUUGGUACCGUAAUGGAUGGAACUGGGCACAAGAUUCGGGUUGUUCUAAUCUGAUUGUUGAGGCAGUGGCAAUGAAAGUGGAUUAAGGUCGUUGCUGACAAAGGGUGGUGUUAUGCUAUUGUGGGAAUAGAUUCUAAGGUUCUGUUUGAUUGUCCAUCAAAAGAGGAUACAAACACCCCUUAGAAGGUCAGCUCAGUAGCAGAAGACAUAGAGGAGAUCAAAACAAGUCUGGAUGGUGUUCUUUUCAGCCUUGUUCGACGGGAAGCCAACAGCAUUGCUGAUUACGUGGUAAGACAGGGUGAAAAGGAGAUGUGUCCAUCGAAUUAGGUGAUUGUACCCCCAUCUCCUUCGUGUACUUAGUGAUUUUUGGAAUGGAAGUAGCUUUCUUGUAAACAGUACUGUGAACAUGGAUUACGGUUGAUAUCAAUAAAGUGGAUGAAAUGUAUAAUAAAAAAAAUGUACGAAAUUUGGCUUUUUUAGCUUUUCAAAAUACUUGAUUGGCCAUUGAAUUGAAUAUUUGGAGAGUGAUAAGAAUUGGAAUUGGCUUAUUACAGCCCAGCACAUAUUGCUUAAUUUAAGAGCGACAUUCUUUA